Molecule: ribosomal RNA, 925 nt
Filed under: Cellulosimicrobium funkei
Lineage: Bacteria; Bacillati; Actinomycetota; Actinomycetes; Micrococcales; Promicromonosporaceae
Description: bacterial SSU rRNA
Rfam family: Bacterial small subunit ribosomal RNA
Source: RNAcentral
GUCGAACGAUGAUGCCCAGCUUGCUGGGUGGAUUAGUGGCGAACGGGUGAGUAACACGUGAGUAACCUGCCCUUGACUUCGGGAUAACUCCGGGAAACCGGGGCUAAUACCGGAUAUGAGCCGUCCUCGCAUGGGGGUGGUUGGAAAGUUUUUCGGUCAGGGAUGGGCUCGCGGCCUAUCAGCUUGUUGGUGGGGUGAUGGCCUACCAAGGCGACGACGGGUAGCCGGCCUGAGAGGGCGACCGGCCACACUGGGACUGAGACACGGCCCAGACUCCUACGGGAGGCAGCAGUGGGGAAUAUUGCACAAUGGGCGAAAGCCUGAUGCAGCGACGCCGCGUGAGGGAUGAAGGCCUUCGGGUUGUAAACCUCUUUCAGCAGGGAAGAAGCGCAAGUGACGGUACCUGCAGAAGAAGCGCCGGCUAACUACGUGCCAGCAGCCGCGGUAAUACGUAGGGCGCAAGCGUUGUCCGGAAUUAUUGGGCGUAAAGAGCUCGUAGGCGGUUUGUCGCGUCUGGUGUGAAAACUCGAGGCUCAACUUCGAGCUUGCAUCGGGUACGGGCAGACUAGAGUGCGGUAGGGGAGACUGGAAUUCCUGGUGUAGCGGUGGAAUGCGCAGAUAUCAGGAGGAACACCGAUGGCGAAGGCAGGUCUCUGGGCCGCAACUGACGCUGAGGAGCGAAAGCAUGGGGAGCGAACAGGAUUAGAUACCCUGGUAGUCCAUGCCGUAAACGUUGGGCACUAGGUGUGGGGCUCAUUCCACGAGUUCCGUGCCGCAGCAAACGCAUUAAGUGCCCCGCCUGGGGAGUACGGCCGCAAGGCUAAAACUCAAAGGAAUUGACGGGGGCCCGCACAAGCGGCGGAGCAUGCGGAUUAAUUCGAUGCAACGCGAAGAACCUUACCAAGGCUUGACAUGCACGAGAAGC